Molecule: microRNA precursor, 103 nt
Filed under: Marmota monax (woodchuck)
Lineage: Eukaryota; Metazoa; Chordata; Mammalia; Rodentia; Sciuridae
Source: RNAcentral
AGUGGAUUUGCUGGGUCAUAUGAUAAAUUUAUGUUUAACUUUAUAAGAAAUUACUAAACCAUUUUCCAAAGUGGAUGGACCAUUUUACAUUCCCACUAUGAUU